RNAcentral lists this ribosomal RNA (415 nucleotides) under uncultured prokaryote. Its description in RNAcentral is "bacterial SSU rRNA". It matches the Rfam family "Bacterial small subunit ribosomal RNA", at positions 505 to 918 of the family's 1533-position model. The record is from RNAcentral.
GUGUCAGCCGCCGCGGUAAUACGUAGGUUGCAAGCGUUAUCCGGAUUUACUGGGCGUAAAGAGUGCGUAGGCGGUUCUUCAAGUCGGAUGUGAAAUCCCCCGGCUUAACCGGGAGGGGUCAUUCGAAACUGUUGGACUAGAGGACAGCAGGGGGAGGUGGAAUUCCCGGUGUAGUGGUGAAAUGCGUAGAUAUCGGGAGGAACACCAGUGGCGAAGGCGGCCUCCUGGGCUGUUUCUGACGCUGAGGCUCGAAAGUGUGGGGAGCGAACAGGAUUAGAUACCCUGGUAGUCCACACUGUAAACAAUGGACACUAGGUAUGGGGAGUAUCGACCCUUUCUGUGCCGAAGCUAACGCUUUAAGUGUCCCGCCUGGGGACUACGGCCGCAAGGCUAAAACUUAAAUGAAUUGACGGGG